Molecule: non-coding RNA, 23 nt
Filed under: Arabidopsis thaliana (thale cress)
Lineage: Eukaryota; Viridiplantae; Streptophyta; Magnoliopsida; Brassicales; Brassicaceae
Also listed under: 5 other names
Source: RNAcentral
CAGGAGUGGAGCCUGCGGCUUAA